Molecule: ribosomal RNA, 458 nt
Filed under: uncultured bacterium
Lineage: Bacteria
Description: partial 16S ribosomal RNA
Rfam family: Bacterial small subunit ribosomal RNA
Source: RNAcentral
GACGAACGCUGGCGGCGUGCUUCAUACAUGCAAGUCGAACGAGAAGCUGACUUCGGUCAGUGGAAAGUGGCGGACGGGUGAGUAAUAUGUAGGAAAUCUGCCUUUAGGAGGGGGACAACAGAGGGAAACUUCUGCUAAUACCCCAUAUGAGCGUAGCUGAAAUGCUAUUCUUGAAAACUCCGGUGCCUAAAGAUGAGCCUGCAUCUGAUUAGCUAGUUGGUAGUGUAAUGGACUACCAAGGCGACGAUCAGUAGCUGGUUUGAGAGGAUGAUCAGCCGCAAGGGGACUGAGACACGGCCCAUACUCCUACGGGAGGCAGCAGUAGGGAAGUUUGCGCAAUGGGCGAAAGCAUGACGCAGCAACGCCGCGUGAACGAUUAAGCCCUUCGGGGUGUAAAGUUCUGUCAGUGGGGACGAAACUUGACGGUACCCACAGAGGAAGCACCGGCUAACUCCGUG